GGUUGUAAACUCGCAGGAUGAAAUAUGCAAAUCGAUCGCUGAGAGUGGAGGCAUUGAUGUGAUCCUGAAAUGUAUUGAAGACAGUGGUGAACAUGGGCAUAGCGAUGUUGCUCGAACGUGCUGCUCUUUGCUAGCUAAGGUACAAUGAGCAAAAAGUCCAUUUUAAAUCUUGAAUCAUCCAUUGAGUAACCAGUAAACUGAACAAGCCACACAACCAAACCAGAGAGUGUAUAGUCCCUAAACUUGAAUCUCAUUAGUUGGCAGGAA
This 267-nucleotide long non-coding RNA is filed under the name Linum usitatissimum (flax). RNAcentral describes it as "long non-coding RNA (LUSI_LNC001071)". The record is from RNAcentral. Lineage: Eukaryota; Viridiplantae; Streptophyta; Magnoliopsida; Malpighiales; Linaceae.